This 354-nucleotide ribosomal RNA is filed under the name uncultured Desulfobulbus sp. Its description in RNAcentral is "bacterial SSU rRNA". It matches the Rfam family "Bacterial small subunit ribosomal RNA", at positions 1028 to 1382 of the family's 1533-position model. The record is from RNAcentral. Lineage: Bacteria; Pseudomonadati; Thermodesulfobacteriota; Desulfobulbia; Desulfobulbales; Desulfobulbaceae.
CUGGAGACAGGUGCUGCAUGGCUGUCGUCAGCUCGUGUCGUGAGAUGUUGGGUUAAGUCCCGCAACGAGCGCAACCCUUGCCUUUAGUUGCCAGCAGUUCGGCUGGGCACUCUAAAGGGACUGCCGGUGUUAAACCGGAGGAAGGUGGGGAUGACGUCAAGUCCUCAUGGCCUUUAUGACCAGGGCUACACACGUACUACAAUGGCCGAUACAAAGGGCAGCGACACUGCGAGGUGAAGCCAAUCCCGUAAAAUCGGUCUCAGUCCGGAUUGGAGUCUGCAACUCGACUCCAUGAAGUUGGAAUCGCUAGUAAUCGUGGAUCAGCAUGCCACGGUGAAUACGUUCCCGGGCCUU